GAAAGAUGAAAAGGACUUUGAAAAGAGAGUUAAAAAGUGCUUGAAAUUGCUGGGAGGGAAGCGAAUGGAUGCCUUUGUUGCCUGCUGGUUGUGUGCGGAACGGCGUAAAAGCUGGUCUGUCAAUCAACUCAGCGGGCUCCCUAGUGUGGGGGUGGAUGCCGGGAUAAAGGUCCCGGGCUCUUUUGCUUGGGAUUGAUGCCGGUGUCUACUCUGUGGCCUGGGGUGUGCGCCUUUCUGGCGGGCAACCUGCACACCCGGGACGCUGGCGGUUUUAGGUUUUUCAUUCGACCCGUCUUGAAACACGG
Molecule: ribosomal RNA, 305 nt
Filed under: Selaginella moellendorffii
Lineage: Eukaryota; Viridiplantae; Streptophyta; Lycopodiopsida; Selaginellales; Selaginellaceae
Description: rRNA LSU_rRNA_eukarya
Rfam family: Eukaryotic large subunit ribosomal RNA
Source: Rfam by way of RNAcentral